GUGUGCUCUUUUUCAGUAACCAUAAUGUGACUUGAGGAAAAGAGCUGACUUGGACAAAGUAAUCAGCAGAUACUCUGGAUGGUGACUUAGGCAGGGAAAGACCAUGAUAUUAUUAGAGAAUACUGUAUGAGUCAGGAAGUAAAUUAGUAUACUCCCACCACUUUUUGAUAAUGAUUGAAUUCCUAUUCUCCAUUUACAAUCAACUUAAUGAUCGAUUCCUAGUGCUGAUUUCUAGGCCCACUCCCACAUUCACCCCUUCCUUUGAAUUAAGUAUUGUUAUUGCUUUUACUAUUAUAGCUUAUAGGUAUUUAAAACCAUGAAGAAUGGACUUGGAACAUACACUUAACAUCAUCCUGUUUUUUCCUUUCACAAAUGAUCACAGCCCUAUACAGCUGCUUUAUUUACUUGACUCGUAUUACCAACAACCCCCCCCCCCCCCAAUAUUCCUCUAUUUCUGGAAAAUUAUUAGAUAGUUAAUCAAAUAUACUGUACUACAUAUGUAAUGUUGAACUGAAAACAAAUGCAGUUGAAAGAGGUUAGGGAAUUGUCUAAACAAUCUUGAGGAAUAACACUAUGUAACCAAGUGUCACUGGCUACAGAUCAACUUAACCACUUUUUUUUGGGGGGGGGGGGGAGAUCCAGAAUGGGAUAUGGAGCCAAUUUGGAAGUCAGUUGUGGAACAUCAUCAUAUGAAAGACAUUGCUACCCUGUUGUUGUCCACACUGAAAAAAAAUUGUUUUGAAAGAAAAGAAAUCUGAAGAGGAGAUAAAUGUUUUGAGGGCACAGCUGCUUGAAUGUGUCAAUGUGUUUGUGUGACAGCUCUUUGGUUCUCUUCUGGAAUGCCUCAAAUCAUCACUGAAAAAAGACAUUCCUUUUCUGGAGGCAAAAAUUGCAAGGUGGCUGAGCUAUUGACACUGAAUCAUUGUGACAAGGGACAAGAAGAAAAAGUCAACCUGUUUUGAAUGGAUGCUAAUGAAUGAGCUCCUCUGUGCUUCAUUUAGAUGGGAUGUGUCAUGGCAACCACUCUCUCAUGUCAAAAAGGUCAUUUGCUGAAGUCACUGGGAGCUAUUUGCCUUGCUGUCCUGCAAGAUUUUUUCUUUUCUUUUCUUUUCUUUUCUUUUCUUUUCUUUUCUUUUCUUUUCUUUUAGGAUACAAUGAAAUCAAGACCUAAUCUGGCCUUCCACAGUUUGUUUAAUAAUCAGUAUAUCAUCACUAUCUAAUGAAAUUUUGGACACAGAAGGUGAAGAAAUUAAUUAUGAGCUAAUGUGAUAUAUCUGCAGUUGGCGUACAUUAGCUCCUAUCAGCAGAUUCCAAAGUGACAUUUUUUCCCUUCAUGCCAAGAUUUCCGGUGAUGAAGAAGCGCCUGAUAGUACUGGUGCAUACAUCUGGGAAACAGAAGAGGACCUGAAGGCAGUAAUAACUCUCCAAAGGGCCCGGGCUGUGGCGCAGGUGGGAGAGCAAGCCAGUGCAAUUAACUGCAAUGAAUCACUCUGACCAGGAGGUCAUGAGUUCGAGCCCCGCUCGGAGCCUAUGUUUGUUUGUCUUUGCUCUAUGUUAAAAGGCAUUAAAUGUUUGCCUAUAUGUGUAAUGUGAUCCGCCCUGAGUCCCCUUCAGGGUGAGAAGGGCGGAAUAUAAAUGCUGUAAAUAAAUAAAUAAAUAAAUAAAUAAAUAAAGUUCACCAAACAGUGAAUCCACUGGAGCAGGGGAAGUACCAACUACCUAAACUUUGCAAGUGAGAUGUGUCAUUCUUACUGAGUCCUAAGAGACAAUGAGAGGGGGGGGGGCAUUUCACAGCUGGUGAAAGGAAUUGUUAUGUAACUUGUUUGCUGUGGCAGUAGGAGAAAUCUAUUCCAUGAGCUAUACUAUUGGCAAGGAAUGAUAAUCACUGAUAUAUAUUGUUGGCUCAGACAGAUGGGAUAGUCUUUCUUUUUCUGACUUUACUACUUGUUAAAUUCCACAUAUUAAAUAUGUUUGACUUUG
This is a long non-coding RNA of Anolis carolinensis (green anole), 1980 nucleotides long. RefSeq lists it as uncharacterized. The record is from RefSeq and is a predicted model, not a curated record. The transcript is spliced from 3 exons. NCBI's taxonomy places the organism in Eukaryota, Metazoa, Chordata, Lepidosauria, Squamata, Anolidae.